This 197-nucleotide ribosomal RNA is filed under the name Klebsiella pneumoniae. RNAcentral describes it as "partial 23S ribosomal RNA". It matches the Rfam family "Bacterial large subunit ribosomal RNA", at positions 1 to 189 of the family's 2925-position model. Lineage: Bacteria; Pseudomonadati; Pseudomonadota; Gammaproteobacteria; Enterobacterales; Enterobacteriaceae. The record is from RNAcentral.
GGGUUGUGAGGUUAAGCGACUAAGCGUACACGGUGGAUGCCCUGGCAGUCAGAGGCGAUGAAGGACGUGCUAAUCUGCGAAAAGCGUCGGUAAGGUGAUAUGAACCGUUAUAACCGGCGAUGUCCGAAUGGGGAAACCCAGUGUGAUUCGUCACACUAUCGUUAACUGAAUACAUAGGUUAACGAGGCGAACCGGGG